AGUGAACGCUGGCGGUAGGCCUAACACAUGCAAGUCGAACGGCAGCACAGUAAGAGCUUGCUCUUACGGGUGGCGAGUGGCGGACGGGUGAGGAAUACAUCGGAAUCUACUUUUUCGUGGGGGAUAACGUGGGGAAACUUACGCUAAUACCGCAUACGACCUACGGGUGAAAGCAGGGGAUCUUCGGACCUUGCGCGAUUGAAUGAGCCGAUGUCGGAUUAGCUAGUUGGCGGGGUAAAGGCCCACCAAGGCGACGAUCCGUAGCUGGUCUGAGAGGAUGAUCAGCCACACUGGAACUGAGACACGGUCCAGACUCCUACGGGGGGCAGCAGUGGGGAAUAUUGGACAAUGGGCGCAAGCCUGAUCCAGCCAUACCGCGUGGGUGAAGAAGGCCUUCGGGUUGUAAAGCCCUUUUGUUGGGAAAGAAAAGCAGCAGGUUAAUACCCCGCUGUUCUGACGGUACCCAAAGAAUAAGCACCGGCUAACUUCGUG
This 492-nucleotide ribosomal RNA is filed under the name uncultured bacterium. RNAcentral's name for it is "partial 16S ribosomal RNA". It matches the Rfam family "Bacterial small subunit ribosomal RNA", at positions 29 to 507 of the family's 1533-position model. The record is from RNAcentral.